GUGAGGGAAAGGCGAAAAGAACCCCGGGAGGGGAGUGAAAUAGAACCUGAAAUCAUACGUCUACAAAGUGUGGAAGACCCUGAAGUGGUCGACUGCAUGCCUUUUGCAUAAUGAGUCUGCGACUUACUGUAUACAGCAAGGUUAAGUUAGUUACGAAGCCGAAGCGAAAGCGAGUGUUAAUAGCGCGAAUUAAGUUGUAUGCAGUAGACCCGAAACUAAGUGAUCUAGCCAUGAGCAGGUUGAAGCUUUUGUAACAGAAAGUGGAGGACCGAACCAGUACGUGCUGAAAAACGUUUGGAUGACUUGUGGCUAGGGGUGAAAGGCCAAUCAAACUUAGUGAUAGCUGGUUCUCUUCGAAAUAGCUUUAGGGCUAGCCUUGAGUGCUUCCUUACGGGGGUAGAGCUACUGAUUUUUCGCGGGCCCCUACCGGGGUACCAACAAAUGUCAAACUCCGAAUACCGUAAGUUUAUGAGCUCAGGAGUCAGUCCGUGUGAGACAAGUCGCACGGACAAGAGGAAAACAGUCCAGACCGCCGUCUAAGGCCCCCAAUAUGUGCUAAGUGGGAAGAAGGAUGUGAAGUUGCAUAGACAGCCAGGAUGUUGGCUUAGAAGCAGCCACCAUUUAAAGAGUGCGUAAUAGCUCACUGGUCGAGUGAUUUCGCGCCGAAAAUACUCGGGACUAAGCAUGUAGCCGAAGACGCGGGCAUAUCAAUAGAUAUGUGGUAGAAGAGCGUUGUAUGCAGGAGUGAAGCUGGAGAGGGAUCACCAGUGGACCGCAUACAAGUGAGAAUGCAGACAUGAGUAACGAAAAGACGGGUGAGAAUCCCGUCCACCGAAACUCCAAGGUUUCCUCCGGAAGGUUCGUCCGCGGAGGGUUAGUCGGAACCUAAGGCGAGGCCGAAAGGCGUAGUCGAUGGACAACAGGUUAAUAUUCCUGUACUAGAUGGGUUGAGUGAUGGAGUGACGCAGCAGGUUAGGUGUUGUCAUUCAUUGGUUUAUGAUUUAAGCGAGCAGGUCGUGGGAUAGGCAAAUCCGUUCCACACAAGACCGAGACGUUAUGAGCAGUGAAAGCCUUCGGGUGGAAACUGUAACAUUGAUACCACACUGCCAGGAAAAGCUUCUAAACGUUGAAGCCCAUCUAUCCGUACCCUAAACCGACACAGGUGGAGUGGUCGAGUAGACUAAGGUGCGCGAGAGAAACCACGUUAAGGAACUCGGCAAAUUAGCCCCGUAACUUCGGGAGAAGGGGUGCCCCGGUAGCGUGCAAGCGCGAGGGGGCCGCAGUAAAGAGGCCCAGGCAACUGUUUAGCAAAAACACAGCACUCUGCAAAAUCGUUAAGAUGAAGUAUAGGGUGUGACACGUGACCAAUGCCAAAAAGUCAAAGGGAGAGGUUAGUCUUCGGACGAAGCUUCGAACUGAAGCUCUGGUGAAUGUCGGCCGUAACUAUAACGGUCCUAAGGUAGCGAAAUUCCUUGUCG
RNAcentral lists this ribosomal RNA (1478 nucleotides) under marine metagenome. Its description in RNAcentral is "bacterial LSU rRNA". It matches the Rfam family "Bacterial large subunit ribosomal RNA", at positions 503 to 1974 of the family's 2925-position model. The record is from RNAcentral.